UUCGACGCAACGCGCAGAACCUUACCUGGGCUUGACAUCCCGAUCGUACCUGCUGGAAACAGCGGGGUCAGUUCGGCUGGAUCGGAGACAGGUGCUGCAUGGCUGUCGUCAGCUCGUGUCGUGAGAUGUUGGGUUAAGUCCCGCAACGAGCGCAACCCUCGCCUUUAGUUGCCAGCAUUCAGUUGGGCACUCUAGAGGGACUGCCGGUGUCAAACCGGAGGAAGGUGGGAUGACGUCAAGUCCUCAUGGCCUUUAUGUCUAGGGCUACACACGUACUACAAUGGCCGGUACAAAGGGCAGCCACUCAGCGAUGAGGCGCUAAUCCCAUAAAGCCGGUCUCAGUCCGGAUCGCAGUCUGCAACUCGACUGCGUGAAGUUGGAAUCGCUAGUAAUCGUAGAUCAGCAUGCUACGGUGAAUACGUUCCCGGGCCUU
Molecule: ribosomal RNA, 433 nt
Filed under: uncultured Desulfovibrio sp.
Lineage: Bacteria; Pseudomonadati; Thermodesulfobacteriota; Desulfovibrionia; Desulfovibrionales; Desulfovibrionaceae
Description: bacterial SSU rRNA
Rfam family: Bacterial small subunit ribosomal RNA
Source: RNAcentral